RNAcentral lists this long non-coding RNA (268 nucleotides) under Junco hyemalis (dark-eyed junco). RNAcentral's name for it is "lncRNA (ENSJHYG00000017958.1)". The record is from RNAcentral. Lineage: Eukaryota; Metazoa; Chordata; Aves; Passeriformes; Passerellidae.
UCUCCGUAAAUCUGUCACCCGCCGGACACGGCUGGAAAUGCCUGGGUCUCACCCUCCUGUGCAAAACUCCCAGCUCAGUGUUAUCAGCAAACUCAGAAAGCCAACAUUUACAAAACCAGCAAGUAUCAGCAGAGUCAGCUAUUGGAAGUACAUGCAGAGGGAAGAAGUAAAAGAGAUCUUGCCAAUCUGUAUAAAGAACCAUAGAAACAGUUAUGGAUGGAAAGGACUUCUAGCAUCAUCUGGUCCAGAGGCAGAUGGUUUAAUUUAG